Molecule: ribosomal RNA, 444 nt
Filed under: uncultured Acholeplasma sp.
Lineage: Bacteria; Bacillati; Mycoplasmatota; Mollicutes; Acholeplasmatales; Acholeplasmataceae
Description: bacterial SSU rRNA
Rfam family: Bacterial small subunit ribosomal RNA
Source: RNAcentral
UAGGGAAUUUUCGGCAAUGGGGGCAACCCUGACCGAGCAAUGCCGCGUGAACGAUGAAGGUCUUCGGAUUGUAAAGUUCUGUUGUUUAAGAAGAAUUGUACUAAUAGGAAAUGAUUAGUAUUUGACGUUAUUAAACUAGAAAGCCCCGGCUAACUAUGUGCCAGCAGCCGCGGUAAUACAUAGGGGGCAAGCGUUAUCCGGAAUUAUUGGGCGUAAAGAGUGCGUAGGCGGUCUAUUAAGUCUGGUGUGAAAUCCCACAGCUUAACUGUGGAGGGUCAUUGGAAACUGGUAGGCUAGAGUGUGGUAGAGGCAAGUGGAAUUCCAAGUGGAGCGGUGGAAUGCGUAGAUAUUUGGAGGAACACCAAUGGCGAAGGCAGCUUGCUGGGCCAUUACUGACGCUGAUGCACGAAAGCGUGGGGAGCAAACAGGAUUAGAUACCCUGGU